RNAcentral lists this small RNA (82 nucleotides) under Salmonella bongori. Its description in RNAcentral is "TrxA 5' UTR thermometer". It matches the Rfam family "TrxA 5' UTR thermometer". Rfam says of the family: Involved in protection against oxidative stress. Lineage: Bacteria; Pseudomonadati; Pseudomonadota; Gammaproteobacteria; Enterobacterales; Enterobacteriaceae. The record is from RNAcentral.
UUGUUGGUUAAUGCUACACCAACGCGCCAGGCUUAUUCCUGUGGAGUUAUAUAUGAGCGAUAAAAUUAUUCACCUGACUGAC